This 253-nucleotide ribosomal RNA is filed under the name uncultured bacterium. RNAcentral describes it as "partial 16S ribosomal RNA". It matches the Rfam family "Bacterial small subunit ribosomal RNA", at positions 524 to 776 of the family's 1533-position model. The record is from RNAcentral.
UACGAAGGGGGCUAGCGUUGUUCGGAUUUACUGGGCGUAAAGCGCGUGUAGGCGGGUCGUUAAGUUGGGGGUGAAAUCCCGAGGCUCAACCUCGGAACUGCCUUCAAAACUGGCGACCUGGACUCAAGUAGAGGCAAGUGGAAUUGCGAGUGUAGAGGUGGAAUUCGUAGAUAUUCGCAGGAACACCAGUGGCGAAGGCGACUUGCUGGACUUGUAGUGACGCUGAGACGCGAAAGCGUGGGGAGCAAACAGG